Molecule: non-coding RNA, 284 nt
Organism: Procambarus clarkii (red swamp crayfish)
Lineage: Eukaryota; Metazoa; Arthropoda; Malacostraca; Decapoda; Cambaridae
Source: RefSeq, a predicted model, not a curated record
AUAAGUAAUAGCUGUAGUAAUGAUAAACUAAGCCAUCUUCCUUUAGUAACGACACAAUAAUUCAUCAGAUCCAUGCCGUCCUGAAAAUCCUCUGCUUCAUAAGAUUCUUGAUUGAGGUGACGACAUACAUGCACCAAUCCUGCUCUCACCAAACAUAUAAUGAAGACAACGACUUGUGUGCAGAUCCGAUUCUUCAUAUAAUCUAUGGAAUUGUGAUCUUUGUUGUAGUGACGAGCAUCAUUCAACUAGUAUUGAGCAUUAUUCUCAUCUGUGGCAUUUUGAAG